GAUGAACGCUGGCGGCGUGCCUAAUACAUGCAAGUCGAGCGAACGGACGAGAAGCUUGCUUCUCUGAUGUUAGCGGCGGACGGGUGAGUAACACGUGGAUAACCUACCUAUAAGACUGGGAUAACUUCGGGAAACCGGAGCUAAUACCGGAUAAUAUUUUGAACCGCAUGGUUCAAAAGUGAAAGACGGUCUUGCUGUCACUUAUAGAUGGAUCCGCGCUGCAUUAGCUAGUUGGUAAGGUAACGGCUUACCAAGGCAACGAUGCAUAGCCGACCUGAGAGGGUGAUCGGCCACACUGGAACUGAGACACGGUCCAGACUCCUACGGGAGGCAGCAGUAGGGAAUCUUCCGCAAUGGGCGAAAGCCUGACGGAGCAACGCCGCGUGAGUGAUGAAGGUCUUCGGAUCUUAAAACUCUGUUAUUAGGGAAGAACAUAUGUGUAAGUAACUGUGCACAUCUUGACGGUACCUAAUCAGAAAGCCACGGCUAACUACGUGCCAGCAGCCGCGGUAAUACGUAGGUGGCAAGCGUUAUCCGGAAUUAUUGGGCGUAAAGCGCGCGUAGGCGGUUUUUUAAGUCUGAUGUGAAAGCCCACGGCUCAACCGUGGAGGGUCAUUGGAAACUGGAAAACUUGAGUGCAGAAGAGGAAAGUGGAAUUCCAUGUGUAGCGGUGAAAUGCGCAGAGAUAUGGAGGAACACCAGUGGCGAAGGCGACUUUCUGGUCUGUAACUGACGCUGAUGUGCGAAAGCGUGGGGAUCAAACAGGAUUAGAUACCCUGGUAGUCCACGCCGUAAACGAUGAGUGCUAAGUGUUAGGGGGUUUCCGCCCCUUAGUGCUGCAGCUAACGCAUUAAGCACUCCGCCUGGGGAGUACGACCGCAAGGUUGAAACUCAAAGGAAUUGACGGGGACCCGCACAAGCGGUGGAGCAUGUGGUUUAAUUCGAAGCAACGCGAAGAACCUUACCAAAUCUUGACAUCCUUUGACAACUCUAGAGAUAGAGCCUUCCCCUUCGGGGGACAAAGUGACAGGUGGUGCAUGGUUGUCGUCAGCUCGUGUCGUGAGAUGUUGGGUUAAGUCCCGCAACGAGCGCAACCCUUAAGCUUAGUUGCCAUCAUUAAGUUGGGCACUCUAAGUUGACUGCCGGUGACAAACCGGAGGAAGGUGGGGAUGACGUCAAAUCAUCAUGCCCCUUAUGAUUUGGGCUACACACGUGCUACAAUGGACAAUACAAAGGGCAGCGAAACCGCGAGGUCAAGCAAAUCCCAUAAAGUUGUUCUCAGUUCGGAUUGUAGUCUGCAACUCGACUACAUGAAGCUGGAAUCGCUAGUAAUCGUAGAUCAGCAUGCUACGGUGAAUACGUUCCCGGGUCU
This 1372-nucleotide ribosomal RNA is filed under the name uncultured bacterium. Its description in RNAcentral is "bacterial SSU rRNA". It matches the Rfam family "Bacterial small subunit ribosomal RNA", at positions 28 to 1381 of the family's 1533-position model. The record is from RNAcentral.